Molecule: ribosomal RNA, 460 nt
Filed under: uncultured bacterium
Lineage: Bacteria
Description: partial 16S ribosomal RNA
Rfam family: Bacterial small subunit ribosomal RNA
Source: RNAcentral
CCUACGGGAGGCAGCAGUGAGGAAUAUUGGUCAAUGGACGAGAGUCUGAACCAGCCAAGUAGCGUGAAGGAUGACUGCCCUAUGGGUUGUAAACUUCUUUUAUAUGGGAAUAAAACGUUCCCCGUGUGGGAUUUUUUAUGUACCAUAUGAAUAAGGAUCGGCUAACUCCGUGCCAGCAGCCGCGGUAAUACGGAGGAUCCGCGCGUUAUCCGGAUUUAUUGGGGUUAAAGGGAGCGUAGGUGGAUUGUUAAGUCAGUUGUGAAAGUUUGCGGCUAAACCGGAAAAUUGCAGUUGAAACUGGCAGUCUUGAGUACAGUAGAGGUGGGCGGAAUUCGUGGUGUAGCGGUGAAAUGCUGAGAUAUCACGAAGAACUCCGAUUGCGAAGGCAGUUCACUGGACUGCAACUGACACUGAGGAUCGAAAGUGUGGGUAUCAAACAGGAGUAGAUACCCUGGUAGUC